Molecule: long non-coding RNA, 440 nt
Filed under: Gorilla gorilla gorilla (western lowland gorilla)
Lineage: Eukaryota; Metazoa; Chordata; Mammalia; Primates; Hominidae
Description: lncRNA (ENSGGOG00000044499.1)
Source: RNAcentral
CGCAGCGCGUGGCGUCAGUCUUGGCUGGCAGACCUGUACUCCGUACUCGGUAGUCGCAGCGGCGCGGUCUUCGGCAGUCUGGUCAUCCACCGCCAUCCUGGGCCCCACGUGUUGCCUGACCAUUCCUGAGCCCAGGUGGGAGCCGUGGCUGAGGUGAUGGUCUCAAAGUGGAAGAGCUUACUGUCACAGCAACUCCUUUGCAAGAUGCCCCGGCCAGGAAUAGUUGCUGAACACCCCAGGCCUGCUGAGGUCCCUCCUUGAGUCUCAUGUUCAAGCAGUCUUUGUCCAUGAAACUGGGAGGCGACCGUGUUAGCUGCCACUUCCUGACAGCCACCUCUCACCAGUGGCUUCACUCUGUGUCCCUGACCCAGCACAUGGCACAAGAGUGCCUGCCAUCCCUCAGUGUUUCUACAGCAGCAAUCCCGAGAUGCCGGAGCUAG